UAAAGUGCGAAAUGUAGUGCGAUUUGCAUGAAUCUGUGAGUCAUCUAAUCUUUGAACGCAACUUGCGCCUCUUUGAGGCAUGUCUGUUCGAGUACCGCAUCCUUAUUAUGCGUGUAUAUGCGAGAUGAUCUAGUAGUUAUUACUAGAUUUAAACGGAGCAAGUAAGGGAAGAGUUUGAUAUCUCUAAUGAGCUAGAGACGCAAGUCUUGUCAUUGGAGCUAUUGACCUUGUUCCUUUCUUCUUGACUUUGGUCUCGAAUCAGGCAAGACUACCCGCUGAACUUAA
RNAcentral lists this unclassified non-coding RNA (285 nucleotides) under uncultured fungus. Its description in RNAcentral is "sequence contains ITS1". The stretch from base 1 to 97 matches the Rfam family "5.8S ribosomal RNA", at positions 49 to 154 of the family's 154-position model. Lineage: Eukaryota; Fungi. The record is from RNAcentral.